This 800-nucleotide ribosomal RNA is filed under the name Candidatus Pelagibacter sp. RNAcentral describes it as "partial 23S ribosomal RNA". It matches the Rfam family "Bacterial large subunit ribosomal RNA", at positions 1 to 858 of the family's 2925-position model. The record is from RNAcentral. Lineage: Bacteria; Pseudomonadati; Pseudomonadota; Alphaproteobacteria; Candidatus Pelagibacterales; Candidatus Pelagibacteraceae.
AAUCAAGCGUUUAAGGGCGUGUAGUGGAUGCCUUGGCACUGAAAGCCGAUGAAGGACGUGAUAUACUGCGAUAAGUUUCGGGGAGCUGUAUGUAAGUUUUGAUCCGAAAAUUUCCGAAUGGGGAAACCCACCACUUUAUGUGGUACUUUAAACUGAAUACAUAGGUUUAAAGAGACAACCUGGAGAACUGAAACAUCUAAGUAACCAGAGGAAAAGAAAUCAAAUGAGAUUCCGUUAGUAGUGGCGAGCGAACGCGGAACAGGCCAGUAGUUUUGUUAAAAAAAUUUGAAUAGUUUGGAAAUGCUAACCAUAGAGGGUGAUAGUCCCGUAUGAGUAAUGUUUAACAAAAUUCUUGAGUAAAGCGGGACACGUGAAAUCCUGCUCGAAUAUAGGGGGACCACCCUCUAAGCCUAAAUACUCUUCAGUGACCGAUAGUGAACUAGUACCGUGAGGGAAAGGUGAAAAGAACCCCUAUUAGGGGAGUGAAAUAGAACCUGAAACUGCAUGCCUACAAUCAGUCGAAGCUCUUUUUAGAGUGACGGCGUACCUUUUGUAUAAUGGGUCAGUGACUUAAUUUAUAAAGCAAGCUUAAGCCAUCUAGGUGUAGGCGAAGCGAAAGCAAGUCUUAAUAGGGCGAUUAGUUUUAUGAAUUAGACCCGAAAACGAAUGAGCUUACCAUGAGCAGGUUGAAAGUAAGGUAACACUUACCGGAGGACCGAACCAGUUGACGUUGAAAAGUCUUUGGAUGACUUGUGGUAAGGGGUGAAAGGCCAACCAAAUUCGUAGAUAGCUGGUUUUCC